CUAAAAAAUAAUUGUUUUUCCUUUGAAACCAAAAAAAUAAAAUAUUAUUGGGGUAUUGUAUUACGUUUCAGUUAUACGCGUUAUAUGCGAUAUGCGUAUAAGGUGUAUUUAAGAAGUAAUGAUCUCAAAAAUCAGAAAUCGGCAACAUUGCAUAAACUGUGACACUACUGAGCAUACAUAUAUCUCUAUCAUUAGUAUCAAUUUCAACUCAGUUGAAUUAAUGUGAGCAAUUUCGCAACGAAUUUGACAAAAAUAUGUUUUAUUGACGCCUUACGGAAAUGGAACAGCGACAAUGCAUAUUAUUUCCUCUCACACUAUACUCUGUAAAUGAAUUUUUGGCCAACAAAGAUAUUCCGGAACAAUUCGUGUAUGUAAAGAUAAUGCUGUCAUCAUACUAAAGUUUUUUCGCAUACUAUCCGUCAAACCUAUGCACACAUAUACAUACAAUUUUCCAAUAAUAUUUAUUAAUAUAUAUAUUUUCAUAAACUUUCUCGAUAUUAAAUAUACUCACCUGUUGCACGACACAAUUCAGGAAUUAAAUAAACUAAGUUUUCCCUUUGACUUGGUAGAUUACGUGUUUUUUGUUUCCCUUCUGCAAGGAGCAUAGGUUGUUUUAUUUUUUUUAAAGUUAUAUUAUAUCUAUUCUGAUAGUAAUCCUUAAAUCUUAUGGAUUCUCCCGUUUUUGAUAGUAUAAAUGUAUCCAUUGGAGUUAGUGUGAAAUCAACGUCCCUGAUCCGAUACGUAUUGUUGUUGUGAUCAGUAAGUACAAUACAUCCUAUGACUUCUUCACAAAACAUCUAUAAACGUACAUUUAGUUAUUACCAUUUAUUAGUAUUUUAAAGAUACUGAAAGUCAUUUGUUACAUUACUUGUUGAAUUUUUGUUUUACUGUCCGACUUUUUUCUUUUACAAUUAUACCAAAUGUCUAAAAGUGUAUCCAGACGCAUAAUUUUAUGAGUUAUAUCCACGCACAUAAGAAUGUUUUCUUUAUGUUGUCUAAUAGAUGUGAAGAUACCUGACAACACUUCCAAUUUAUAGUGAUCAAUUCGUUUCUGUUAUUAAAAAAUAUAUGGUAUUGUAAAUACAUAAAUACGUAAAAAUAGAUAUGUAUGUAUUGUAUUAUUUAAAUCCAUAGGAAUUUAUAUAUAAAUAUAUUUUUACACACACACAUACAUACAUACAUACAUAUUGUACUUUUAUCUUUAUGUAGUACCUUUUAUUACUAUUGCAGUACUUUAUAUAUAUAGAACCAGAAAACUACAUUAUGGGUCUGAUUAAUUGAGCAGGAACUAGACUCGCAGAAUUGGCUCAAGUAAAUAAAUAAAAAUAUUUUGUAAGAUUAUCAAUUUUUUGCUCUGCUAUACAUAGAAUAGAAAGAGAGGUGCUAAGAAACAUGGCGAUUAAGACACAAAGAGAGUAAAAUAAUAUCAAGACUAUUUAUGCUUUUAAACAGGACAGUCUGAGGACAAUUGACAAAUGCCAGGUAUCGACAGUAGAGUCUCUCUCGUUCAGACUGUUGUAAUCUACUUAACGAUGAUCCACGCCGCAGCAUUCUAGACCUCGAUGGCCGCGGUGUAAGGCUGCGAUGGUCCAGGUUGCGAUGGUCCAGGCUGCGAUGGUCCAGGCUGCGACGGUCCAGGCUGCGAUGGUCCAGGCUGCGAUGGUCCAGGCUGCGAUGGUCCAGGCUGCGAUGGUCCAGGUUGCCACACUUCGGUUUGCUGUGGUGGAGGUUGCCAUUCUUCAGUUUGGUAUGGUGGAUGCUGCCAUCCUUCAGUUUGGUAUGGUGGAUGCUGCCAUCCUUUAGUUUGCUGUGAUGGAUGCUGCCAUCCUUCAGUUUGCUGUGAUGAAUGCUGCCAUCCUUCAGUUUGCUGUGAUGGAUGCUGCCAUCCUUCAGUUUGCUGUGAUGGAUGCUGCCAUCCUUCAGUUUGUUGUGGUGGAGGCUGCCAUCCUUCAGGUUGCGAUGGUGCAUGCUGCUGUGAUAGAGACUGCAAUAGUCUUCUAGGCUGGUAUCUUACAGUCCGCCAUGCUUCAGUUUGCUGUAAUUCAUGCUGCCAUAUUGCAGUUUGUUCGGGCUGCAUUGUUGCAGGGUGCCACGUUGGAUGCUGCCAUCGAUGAGAAUGCAUUGGUGUAUACUGCCAUGGUUGCCGCGAUCUAGGCCGCAAUGGUGUAAACCGCCGUGAUUUAAUCUGCGGUGGUGCAGACCGCCAUUGUAGAGUCUGCGGUGGUGCAAACUGCCGUGAUACAGUCUGCUGUGGCGCAGAUUGCCAUGAUCCCGACGGUGGAGUAUGCCAUUCAGAUUGCGACGACUCAGACUGUGACGUUUCAAUCUGAAUCGUUCGAAGUGUUCUAGACUGCCGUGGUGUACCUUGCCAUGGUACAGGCUGGUAUGGUGUACUCCGUGAAGAUUGACCUUGAC
Molecule: long non-coding RNA, 2415 nt
Organism: Vespula vulgaris
Lineage: Eukaryota; Metazoa; Arthropoda; Insecta; Hymenoptera; Vespidae
Exons: 5
Source: RefSeq, a predicted model, not a curated record